This 495-nucleotide ribosomal RNA is filed under the name uncultured bacterium. Its description in RNAcentral is "bacterial SSU rRNA". It matches the Rfam family "Bacterial small subunit ribosomal RNA", at positions 29 to 496 of the family's 1533-position model. The record is from RNAcentral.
AACUAACGCUAGCGGCGUGCCUAACACAUGCAAGUCGUACGAGAAAGUUGGCUUCGGCCGAUGAGUAAAAGUGGCGCACGGGUGAGUAAUGCGUGGAUAAUCUGCCCUUUAGUUGGGAAUAACGUACCGAAAGGUGCGCUAAUACCUGAUAAUACUGCAUAACUACUGUUGUGUAGUCAAAGAAGGCCUCUGUUUACAAGCUUUUGCUGAAGGAUGAGUCCGCGUACCAUUAGCUGGUUGGUGGGGUAAUGGCCUACCAAGGCUACGAUGGUUAGCUGGUCUGAGAGGAUGAUCAGCCACACUGGAACUGAGAUACGGCCCAGACUCCUACGGGAGGCAGCAGCUAAGAAUAUUCCGCAAUGGACGAAAGUCUGACGGAGCGAACGCCGCGUGGAUGAAGAAGGCCGAAAGGUUGUAAAGUUCUUUUGCUAGGGGAGAAGUAAGUGAGGGAGGGAAUGCCCUCAUGAUGACAAGGACUAGCGAAUAACGCCCCGG